CGGGAGGAAAAAGGAGGGAGAGGAAGGGGGUGGGGGCGAGCAGAAGGGGCCCACACACCCACCCCGGGACCCGAGCCGGAGUGGGUGGGGGAAGGGGGACAGUUCCCGCAGCCGAGAAGACGAGGAGGGGUCAGAAAAGCAGGGGGAGCUUUGGUUGAGGGUGGGCCCGCUCAUAAUCUAGGGGAGGUCGGGAAGCUCUGGGGGGUCCUUGAAUCCCCUUCCAUGUGGGAAGCAAGCACGAGGCAGCUGAGUGGAGCGGGCUCCCCGCCCGGAGUUUGCGGUCCAGGUGUCUUCUAUGGGCACAGAGACUGCUUGGCAGGUGGAGACGGGAGAAACGUGUCAGGAAUGUCUCGGCCAGGGAAGGGGCUCAUGCUGCGGGUCCCUGGAUCCCUGGCUUGAAGGGGCAGGGAGGAGGCUACAAAUGAGGGUGAGUGACUUCUGAAUCACACCCCACCCCCUAGUGACAAAGACGUACUAAGUGCUUUAUUGAGUCACUUCUCUGAUCCCUAAGGACAAAAAAGCCAAGAGACUUCCAAACCCAGUUGGGCAAGCAAGUGCUUUCAUGGGGAAAGGGAGCCCCAGUGGAGUUUCUCAACCUUCACUGGCUGCAAGCCCCAAAGUCUGGCCCCUGCCUUCCAGCAGGUCCAUUCUCCUCAUCCACCCUGAAGCCCGCCUUCCUGACUGCACAGGGCUCACCUCUUGGGGGAACAGGUCUUGCCUUCUAAAGUGGAGUUCUUUCCCAUCAGGGCUGGACUGUCUUGGUGACCUUGAGCCAGGAGGACUCCUCCCUGGGCCUGAGCUUCCUCCUCUGCCAAUGACGGUUAAGGCUGAUGAUCCCAAGGGACUCAAGUUUCAUAGUCAGCUUUCUCUGACUCAGUCUUUCCCUCCUGUGUCCUGUUGCCCAGCAGCCCUGAACACAUGAUCCUAAUUUUAAGGGAAGAAGGUGAAGGAAUAAAGAGGAUCCAUCAGAGGAGGCAGGGAAGAGAUUGUUUCAUCCACUCAACGACAGUCUGUGGACAUCAAGCUGUGUCAGACACUGGGCGAGGUGCAGGAAUCCAAAGGUUGAAAAAAACAAUUUCUAUCCAAGUUAACAUCACUGGAGAAUCAUUAACAGAGGACAGAAGAGUAAAUGUUGGCCAUCUGCUUCAUACUAGACCUUGUACAGUCCUCUACAUAUGAGUCAGAGCAUCUCAGGAUAUCCCUUUAAGGGAUAUUAACUUGGAUAGAAAUAUGGUUCCUUCAAGCUGGAGGAUUCAGAGCAUGUGUCAAGGCUUAAGUAACCAUCAUUAAACUGGCAGAAAUAAUCCAGCAGACAUGGCAAACACAUGGCACAUAUGCCUCUGUAAUGUGGGUGGGCCUCAUCCAAUCAGCUGAAGGCCUCAAUAGAACAGAAAGAUGCACCUCCCUGAGCAAAAGGCAAUUCUUCAGCAGACUGACUUCACACUGGAA
Non-coding RNA from Kogia breviceps (pygmy sperm whale), 1449 nucleotides. Lineage: Eukaryota; Metazoa; Chordata; Mammalia; Artiodactyla; Physeteridae. The record is from RefSeq and is a predicted model, not a curated record.